UAUUAUUGGGAAAACAGUUUUGAAGGGUAGAGUUCCUGAUUGGUUCUUGAGCCCCUAAAAAUCCUGGAACACACUUGCAGAACUCCUGUCCUAGGGCAUCAGAAGUACCUAGGAUACAUCUGGAUAUAACAACCUGUUACAGGUUCUGGGAUACAUGUGCAGGACGUGCAGGUUUGUUUACGUAGGUAAAUGUGUACCAGGGUGGUUUGCUACAUCUAUCAACCCAUCACCUAGAAGCUGGCAAGAUGGCUUUUGAACCCCAGUAACUUGACUUCAGGAUUGGUGUGUCCAACAACUAUGUCACACUGCUUCUCAGACCACUUGAAGUUCAC
Callithrix jacchus (white-tufted-ear marmoset) is the source of this 332-nucleotide long non-coding RNA. RefSeq lists it as uncharacterized. Lineage: Eukaryota; Metazoa; Chordata; Mammalia; Primates; Cebidae. The record is from RefSeq and is a predicted model, not a curated record.